RNAcentral lists this ribosomal RNA (930 nucleotides) under Pediococcus inopinatus. Its description in RNAcentral is "bacterial SSU rRNA". It matches the Rfam family "Bacterial small subunit ribosomal RNA", at positions 380 to 1304 of the family's 1533-position model. The record is from RNAcentral. Lineage: Bacteria; Bacillati; Bacillota; Bacilli; Lactobacillales; Lactobacillaceae.
AGUCUGAUGGAGCACGCCGCGUGAGUGAUGAAGGCUUUAGGGUCGUAAAACUCUGUUGUUGGAGAAGAACGUGUGUGAGAGUAACUGCUCAUGCAGUGACGGUAUCCAACCAGAAAGCCACGGCUAACUACGUGCCAGCAGCCGCGGUAAUACGUAGGUGGCAAGCGUUAUCCGGAUUUAUUGGGCGUAAAGCGAGCGCAGGCGGUUUCUUAAGUCUAAUGUGAAAGCCUUCGGCUUAACCGAAGAAGUGCAUUGGAAACUGGGAAACUUGAGUGCAGAAGAGGACAGUGGAACUCCAUGUGUAGCGGUGAAAUGCGUAGAUAUAUGGAAGAACACCAGUGGCGAAGGCGGCUGUCUGGUCUGUAACUGACGCUGAGGCUCGAAAGCAUGGGUAGCGAACAGGAUUAGAUACCCUGGUAGUCCAUGCCGUAAACGAUGAAUGCUAAGUGUUGGAGGGUUUCCGCCCUUCAGUGCUGCAGCUAACGCAUUAAGCAUUCCGCCUGGGGAGUACGACCGCAAGGUUGAAACUCAAAAGAAUUGACGGGGGCCCGCACAAGCGGUGGAGCAUGUGGUUUAAUUCGAAGCUACGCGAAGAACCUUACCAGGUCUUGACAUCUUCUGCUAACCUAAGAGAUUAGGCGUUCCCUUCGGGGACAGAAUGACAGGUGGUGCAUGGUUGUCGUCAGCUCGUGUCGUGAGAUGUUGGGUUAAGUCCCGCAACGAGCGCAACCCCUAUUAUUAGUUGCCAGCAUUAAGUUGGGCACUCUAGUGAGACUGCCGGUGAUAAACCGGAGGAAGGUGGGGACGACGUCAAAUCAUCAUGCCCCUUAUGACCUGGGCUACACACGUGCUACAAUGGACGGUACAACGAGUUGCGAGACCGCGAGGUUAAGCUAAUCUCUUAAAACCGUUCUCAGUUCGGACUGCACG